GCGCCCGUAGUGAAAAGGAAAUCACGAGGGUCUCCGGAACCCUAAGUACAGGUUCGAUUCCUGUCGGGCGCGCCA
Molecule: transfer RNA, 75 nt
Filed under: Deltaproteobacteria bacterium
Lineage: Bacteria; Pseudomonadati; Myxococcota; Myxococcia
Description: tRNA-Arg
Rfam family: tRNA
About the family: Transfer RNA (tRNA) molecules are approximately 80 nucleotides in length.
Source: RNAcentral